This 208-nucleotide long non-coding RNA is filed under the name Nicotiana benthamiana. Its description in RNAcentral is "long non-coding RNA (NBEN_LNC015723)". The record is from RNAcentral. Lineage: Eukaryota; Viridiplantae; Streptophyta; Magnoliopsida; Solanales; Solanaceae.
CCAUUUCCUUCUCUCUCUCUUGGUGUGGUUGGGAGGAGGGAGUGUAUUGGUCAAACUUUGACCGUUGUGGUCGAUCCAACCAGGACCUCGGCCAAAUGGCGGGAUAAGAAAAGUCAUCGUGACUUGCUCCAAACCCAGUGCUCACGCUGUCUGCGAACAACACUUACGGAAUGACGAAAACGGACGUGGUAUAAAAGUGCUUUGACCC